CGUAGGUGGCAAGCGUUAUCCGGAAUUAUUGGGCGUAAAGCGCGCGCAGGCGGUCCUUUAAGUCUGAUGUGAAAGCCCACGGCUCAACCGUGGAGGGUCAUUGGAAACUGGGGGACUUGAGUGCAGAAGAGGAGAGCGGAAUUCCACGUGUAGCGGUGAAAUGCGUAGAGAUGUGGAGGAACACCAGUGGCGAAGGCGGCUCUCUGGUCUGUAACUGACGCUGAGGCGCGAAAGCGUGGGAGCGAACAGGAUU
This 253-nucleotide ribosomal RNA is filed under the name uncultured bacterium. RNAcentral's name for it is "partial 16S ribosomal RNA". It matches the Rfam family "Bacterial small subunit ribosomal RNA", at positions 526 to 779 of the family's 1533-position model. The record is from RNAcentral.